Molecule: ribosomal RNA, 468 nt
Filed under: uncultured bacterium
Lineage: Bacteria
Description: partial 16S ribosomal RNA
Rfam family: Bacterial small subunit ribosomal RNA
Source: RNAcentral
GACGAACGCUGGCGGCGUGCUUAACACAUGCAAGUCGAACGGAAAGGCCCUGCUUUUGUGGGGUGCUCGAGUGGCGAACGGGUGAGUAACACGUGAGUAACCUGCCCUUGACUUUGGGAUAACUUCAGGAAACUGGGGCUAAUACCGGAUAGGAGCUCCUGCUGCAUGGUGGGGGUUGGAAAGUUUCGGCGGUUGGGGAUGGACUCGCGGCUUAUCAGCUUGUUGGUGGGGUAGUGGCUUACCAAGGCUUUGACGGGUAGCCGGCCUGAGAGGGUGACCGGCCACAUGGGGAUUGAUUUCCGGCCCGGACCCCGAGGGGGGCCAGCAGGGGGGAUUAUGGCAAAAGGGGGGGAAGCUGGAAGCAGCACCCCCGGGGGCGGGAUGACGGCUUCCGGUUUGUAACCCGCUUCCGCCUGGAACGAAGGGUGGGGGAGGGUAGGGGAUAGAGAGACCCGGGCUAGCUCCGUC